RNAcentral lists this small RNA (631 nucleotides) under Pan troglodytes (chimpanzee). RNAcentral describes it as "processed transcript". Lineage: Eukaryota; Metazoa; Chordata; Mammalia; Primates; Hominidae. The record is from RNAcentral.
AAACUAUUGUUCCUGUUUCACACAGAAGAAAACUGAGGUUGGCAAUCAUGAUGAGCCCCUGUUCUCAUUCUGCAAAUGGUGAAGCUCUCUAUUGUCCUGACCCCACAGUUCCUGUCCCAUGAGCAGGGCCAGCUCACCAAGGAGCUGCAGCAGCACGUAAAGUCAGUGACAUGCCCAUGCGAGUACCUGAGGAAGAUGAUCCUACACCUGCCACCUCCGAUGGAUCCACUGCGUCUGUGCCUGCCUGUACUGCUGAUGCUCCAGUGGAUAACUCAGCAUCCCAGCCUAGGCCCAAUGCCACUGAAGAUGGACCUGCCCCCUGGAGACCCAGGAGUCCUACCACUCAGCUGUCCCCAGGAGUGCCCAGACCCUCAUUGUUAUCCAGGACCUAGGAGCCCUACCCCUGGCCUUCCCUCAUCAGCCGUAAAUGAUGAUUUACUGCUGUUACCAUCAUCACUGCCUUCAGUGACCAAGGGCCUUCCAAGGUGCCAGCUCUGGAACGAAGGAUGCCCUUGGGAGGUGAUGACACUCAGGUUGAUGGACGGAUGGCUACAUGGAUGUGAUGGAGAUGGUUUACUAUCGGGACCUUCCGCAUCCUGCUGAUGUUUUGUUGCUUAGGAUAUGAAUGGCU